GACGAACGCUGGCGGCGUGCUUAACACAUGCAAGUCGAACGGAAAGGCCCUGCUUUUGUGGGGUGCUCGAGUGGCGAACGGGUGAGUAACACGUGAGUAACCUGCCCUUGACUUUGGGAUAACUUCAGGAAACUGGGGCUAAUACCGGAUAGGAGCUCCUGCUGCAUGGUGGGGGUUGGAAAGUUUCGGCGGUUGGGGAUGGACUCGCGGCUUAUCAGCUUGUUGGUGGGGUAGUGGCUUACCAAGGCUUUGACGGGUAGCCGGCCUGAGAGGGUGACCGGCCACAUUGGGACUGAGAUACGGCCCAGACUCCUACGGGAGGCAGCAGUGGCGAAUAUUGCACAAUGGGCGGAAGCCUGAUGCAGCAACGCCGCGUGCGGGAUGACGGCCUUCGGGUUGUAAACCGCUUUCGCCUGUGACGAAGCGUGAGUGACGGUAAUGGGUAAAGAAGCACCGGCUAACUACGUG
This 468-nucleotide ribosomal RNA is filed under the name uncultured bacterium. Its description in RNAcentral is "partial 16S ribosomal RNA". It matches the Rfam family "Bacterial small subunit ribosomal RNA", at positions 28 to 507 of the family's 1533-position model. The record is from RNAcentral.